GGAGAAAUGGCAGAGUGGCCUAAUGCACUCCUUUGCUAAAGGAGCAUAUAUUAUAUCGUAGGUUCAAAUCCUACUUUCUCUA
This 82-nucleotide transfer RNA is filed under the name Candidatus Carsonella ruddii CS isolate Thao2000. RNAcentral's name for it is "tRNA-Ser (GCT) (tRNA-Ser-GCT-1-1)". It matches the Rfam family "tRNA". Rfam says of the family: Transfer RNA (tRNA) molecules are approximately 80 nucleotides in length. Their secondary structure includes four short double-helical elements and three loops (D, anti-codon, and T loops). The record is from RNAcentral. Lineage: Bacteria; Pseudomonadati; Pseudomonadota; Gammaproteobacteria; Oceanospirillales; Halomonadaceae.